GGAGCCGUGACGGCAGGAUUAAGAUCAAGCGGCUGGUCUUCAUAUGGCCUGCUGGUGGGCAUGGAUGAAGAUGAGAUUUAAAGUUCAUCAGAUACGCAUGUAGAACCGUCUUUGGACAAUUUGCGGACGCGGGUUCGACUCCCGCCAGCUCCACCA
RNAcentral lists this transfer RNA (156 nucleotides) under Mesosutterella multiformis. Its description in RNAcentral is "tRNA-Ser". It matches the Rfam family "transfer-messenger RNA", at positions 217 to 374 of the family's 374-position model. From Rfam's summary of the family: Bacterial tmRNA, also known as 10Sa RNA or SsrA, is named for its dual tRNA and mRNA-like properties. Its role is to liberate the mRNA from a stalled ribosome. To accomplish this part of the tmRNA is used as a reading frame that ends in a translation stop signal. The record is from RNAcentral. Lineage: Bacteria; Pseudomonadati; Pseudomonadota; Betaproteobacteria; Burkholderiales; Sutterellaceae.